RNAcentral lists this ribosomal RNA (372 nucleotides) under uncultured organism. RNAcentral describes it as "bacterial SSU rRNA". It matches the Rfam family "Bacterial small subunit ribosomal RNA", at positions 526 to 896 of the family's 1533-position model. The record is from RNAcentral.
CGUAGGGGGCAAGCGUUGUCCGGAUUUAUUGGGCGUAAAGCGCUCGCAGGUGGUUCGAUGCGUCGUGCGUGAAAGCCCCCGGCUCAACUGGGGAGUGUCGUGCGAUACGGUCGGACUGGAGGCCAGUAGGGGGAUGCGGAAUUCCGGGUGUAGUGGUGGAAUGCGUAGAGAUCCGGAGGAACACCAGCGGCGAAGGCGGCAUCCUGGACUGGUCCUGACACUCAUGAGCGAAAGCGUGGGGAGCGAUCCGGAUUAGAUACCCGGGUAGUCCACGCCGUAAACGAUGCGCACUAGGUGUCGGGGGUAUCGACCCCCUCGGUGCCGCAGCUAACGCGAUAAGUGCGCCGCCUGGGGACUACGGCCGCAAGGCUA